RNAcentral lists this ribosomal RNA (1465 nucleotides) under Triticum aestivum (bread wheat). RNAcentral's name for it is "partial small subunit ribosomal RNA". The record is from RNAcentral. Lineage: Eukaryota; Viridiplantae; Streptophyta; Magnoliopsida; Poales; Poaceae.
CCUCUCUCUUUUCUUUCCCCACCUUUUCCCAAUCCCACCUACCGCACGCGUCCAGGACCACGGCGACCGGAGGCGCUGCUGCCCAUGGUCGCCGUCGUGCCCCCGCCUCCGGCGCCUCUCCCCGCCGCCGCUCGCGGCCGAAGCCGGAGCCCUCGUCGAGGCGGGCUUGAUCCCCGCCAUGGUUGCGGCGCAGCAGGCCACGCUGCACGCGCAGGUGGACCAGCUCCAGCGCCUCGUCGUCAACCCGCUCGCCCAGGAGAUGGUCAGGAGCCCCUCCCCUUUCUCCAAUCUCUGCAUCGUCGGCUCUGCGCGCAGCUCCGCGAGGCGGAGUGCGAGGCCGUGGUGGCCGUCCUCGCGCCGUAGUCGCCGUCCUCGAGCUCGUGCCGUGGUGGCCGUCCUCGAGCUCGUGCCGUGGUGGCGCGCAAUGGGUGCCGCCGAGGAUGCCGUCCAGCAGCUCGGCCUGCUCAUGGAGCUUUGGGAUGUGGUUCACCGGACACGUGGGCGAGGCGGAGGCGCCGGCGUGCGUGCUCUCUCCCGUCUGCAUCUUGAGCAGCUCUGCAUCCUGAGCAGCUCUGCAUCCUGUUGCAGCCGGAGCUGGGCUCCAUGACGGAUCUACUUGAUGCUCAAGAAUACUUGCUCCAGGAAGGGUGCAGACCGCCGUCUACACGAACAAGCAGAGAUACAUGCAGCUCUUCCUCCUCGUUGCUGUCCUGUACCUGACGCCGGCGACCUCGAGUAGAUCAACCUCGACCGCUGGCUGCUGCAGCGCGCCGACGGGGCAGGGCGUGAAGCCGGCGGCCUGGGCAGCUCGCCCACGCGGCGAACGGGAAGCGCGUGGAGGCGGCCAGCGGCCUGGGCAGCGCCGACCUCCAUACCUCCAAGGUGUUUGUGCUAAUGCACUGAGAUAAUUUGGGGGUGGUUUGGGGUCAACGAGUGGGAAACAGCUAUCCCCAUACGACGUGUUUUGUCCGGACGCCCCCCAAAGCCCUCUCCAAAGUUGUAAUCCGGAUGCUAUAUGGGGGCUGCGAGUGGAGAUGCUCUUACAGUUCAAACAAAGUAAUGUGCUUCAGGCACUAUGGUAGGAUAAAUACACGGCGGUAGACAAAUCGGGAUGCAAUCAUGUGAAUAAUGCAAACAGCGAGGAAUUUCUCUAACAAAAACUAUGCAUGAUUCAGAGUAAUGACAACCUAUGUUCAGAAAGCAAGCCAGUAAUCAAAUACUAAUGACUGGAGAGUCUGCAUCGCCAAGUUUUCAUCGCUCUCCACUUAUGCACUGAAGACACGCAGCUCCAACAAUCUUUUGUACUGGCCUUGUUCUAUCUCUGCUUCAUUUGCACCAUGUAAUAACAGGAGCUCAAUGACACAAUCUUCCCAGUCAAUAACAUUACAUGAGUCUCUUUUCUUUCUCUUCUUCACACAGUCCGGAGCAUUUGAAAUCUCUGUCAGAUGAUCCUUUUCAUUUCGUC